RNA transcript from Trachymyrmex cornetzi, 1281 nucleotides. RefSeq lists it as uncharacterized. Lineage: Eukaryota; Metazoa; Arthropoda; Insecta; Hymenoptera; Formicidae. The record is from RefSeq and is a predicted model, not a curated record. The transcript has 12 exons.
AUACGUUACUGAAGUUACGUUGGACAGUGGACACGCAUGCGUCUGAAACCCAGUCCGUCUAACAACACUGCCGGAAGUUUUUCUCGAUCAAAUAUAACCGCCUUCGUUGAUCGUUCAUUCUGCGACUGGAUCUCUCGGAGGACGCGUCGUUGGCGUCCUUGCACAUGUUGCACGUCCUGGCUUACCAUGGAAAGUGCUGGGUUUGUAGAGCUGCCUUCCUCUCUUUGCUGUCUUUCUCUCAUAUCGAAGAUAUGGCAGAGCCACUAAAUAGCUUGUGCUUAUCAUCACAAUUGUUUUAAAAUAUGGAAGAGCAGAUUUGUGACCUGUUACAAAUUUCUUCUCCAAAUCGGGCGUUUAUAAAGAUGGAAGAGCAGAUUUGUGACCUGUUACAAAUUUCUUCUCCAAAUCGGACGUUUAUAAUGUGAGAAAUACGCAAGAGAGCGUGUAAGGAAGAAUUUUAAGAUGUUAAUAUUCAUUAUGCUCAACAUAAUUGCAAUAAUAUAAAUUGUACAUCAAAAUGACAUUUUUUUAUAAAACUGAUUAAUUUGCAAUGCGGUAACAAUGCAAUUGUGUGUGUGUGAUCCGUAUAGAUACUAUUCGAAGGUAGUAGUGGAAGAGACAACAGUGUUUGAGCAAUAAGAAUUAUAAUGUGAGAAAUAUGCAAGAGAGCGUGUAAGGAAGAAUUUGAAGAUGUUAAUAUUCAUUAUGCUCAACAUAAUUGCAAUAAUAUAAAUUGUACAUCAAAAUGACAUUUUUUAUAAAAUUGAUUAAUUUGCAAUGCGGUAACAAUGCAAUUGUGUGUGUGUGAUCCGUAUAGAUACUAUUCGAAGGUAGUAGUGGAAGGGACGACAGCGUUCGAUGCUUACAGUUAAAACUGUUCAAACUACAAAAUUUCAGCUACUGGAAUAAGAGCGACGGAUCUGUCGCUUAUUUCAGCAGGGAAAUUGUACCUUAAAUCGUGUUAUAGAACCUGGGAGCCACUAUUUACGAAUCAGUUGGUUUUACACGGAGUCACACGUCAUCACUAUUUGAAAAUGAGCUAUUAAAUGGGACCUUAGCACUUUAAGAGAAUAUUUGAAUUACAGGAAAAGCAAGUAGAAGGUAAAAGGAAAUAUGGCUCGUAGGUUGUAUGAUAAACGAGAUGAAAUAGAGAAUAUAUUCCAUAGAAAUAUGAUUCUUUUAUUGGAGAACCUUUACAUCUAAGUUCUACUGCCGCGUUGAAGUCCGAUACCAUGUCUCCGCAAACCAAAGUUGGAUCGGAGCAAUCGGGUUUAGCAGGAC